This is a non-coding RNA of Parelaphostrongylus tenuis, 73 nucleotides long. Lineage: Eukaryota; Metazoa; Nematoda; Chromadorea; Rhabditida; Metastrongylidae. The record is from the annotation of a GenBank genome assembly.
GCGUCGGUGGUUCAACGGUUAAGCACACGCUCUCGGAAAGAGUAAGAUCUGGGUUUGAAUCCCGGCUGACACA